UUUCAAACAUUAAUUAAAAAAAUUCAACUGUAGAACUAAAAUGUGAAAGCGACGAAUUCAUGUGACAAAAAUUGAAAUACGACGGAUGAGGAAAAUGCUCAGAGAAUUGACUUACUUGAAAAACAAAGCAUAAACAUUUUUGAGCAACUAGUCCUUUACUUUCGUUGAUCCUUAUCUUUUGCAUACUACUUUGGGAAAACCUGUAAGAAUUGAUUCCGUAUGUGCUGGCAAUGGCUGCCACUAUCUCAAUUUAUUCACAUUAGCUUUACUAAGCUUGAUACAUUUGAUUAUGAUUUUGAACAACAAUCAAUUUGUCUCAGAUUCCUAAUUUGAUGAAUCUGGAAGUUGUUUUUAGUAUUUUUCAUUACUUUCCUUGCAAGCCUAUAUUCCGUGACAAGGCACAAAAUAAUCUUAGUGGUGAGAUACCAAGGCUUAUAUACUGGAAUGAAGUUUUGCAAUGUGUGAGAAACAAUAGCGUAACAGGAAGUAUUUCUGAAAACAUAGGCAACUCUACUUCCUCCAAGUCUUGAAUCUUUUGUCUAACAACCUUCAAGCCUCCAUUCCAAUUCAACCGUCAAGGAUCAGAAAUUUGGUUACAUUGUAACUGAGUAGCUGCUUAAAGUGGAGGAUGGCAUGAGGUUGUUUCUUCUUUUUCUUUUCGGGUUUAGUUUACGAGAUCUGUUAUGUAACACUAGGGGAAAUUUUUAUGAUUUAUCUUUUGUUGUAUUGAGUAGAGAGUUAAAGUAUACUCUCAUGGUUAAUAUUUUGAGGUUUUGAAGAGAUUACAUUUAUGAUUUCAUUUAUGUUAUAGUCUUUGAAAUUAAAUGAUUUAUUGAUUGCAUACUUUA
This is a long non-coding RNA of Lathyrus oleraceus (garden pea), 848 nucleotides long. RefSeq lists it as uncharacterized. The record is from RefSeq and is a predicted model, not a curated record. Lineage: Eukaryota; Viridiplantae; Streptophyta; Magnoliopsida; Fabales; Fabaceae. The transcript is spliced from 5 exons.